CCAGCAGCUGCGGUAAUUCCAGCUCCAAGAGUGUAUAUUAAAGUUGUUGCGGUUAAAAAGCUCGUAGUUGGACUUGGGGAUCGUGUACAAUGGUUCCUGGGGGCUCACGCCUCUGGGGUUAAGGCCGUGUGCGCUUUUCUAACAUGGGGCGCAAGGGUGGUGUUCGUCUUCGGGCGGGUGCUGCCUGUUCCAUUGGGUUUACUUUGAAAAAAUUAGGGUGUUCAAAGCAGACGAAAUCGUCUUGAAUACAUUAGCAUGGGAUAAUAGAAUACGACCAUUGGUCAGACUUUAUUGGUUUCUGGGGCCAGGGUAAUGAUUAACAGGGACAGUUGGGGUCGCUUGUAUCCGGUGGUUAGAGGUGAAAUUCUAUGACCCAUCGGGGACAAACAAAUGCGAAGGCAUUCGACAAGGAGGUUUUCAUUAAUCAAGAACGAAAGU
Molecule: ribosomal RNA, 438 nt
Filed under: uncultured eukaryote
Lineage: Eukaryota
Description: SSU rRNA
Rfam family: Eukaryotic small subunit ribosomal RNA
Source: RNAcentral